UACGGAGGGUGCAAGCGUUGCUCGGAAUCACUGGGCGUAAAGCGUCCGCAGGCGGACCAAUAAGUCGGAUGUGAAAGCCCGGGGCUCAACCCCGGAACUGCAUUCGAAACUGCUGGUCUUGAGUACGAGAGAGGAAAGCGGAAUUCCUGGUGUAGAGGUGAAAUUCGUAGAUAUCAGGAGGAACACCUGUGGCGAAAGCGGCUUUCUGGCUCGAUACUGACGCUCAUGGACGAAAGCGUGGGGAGCAAACAGG
Molecule: ribosomal RNA, 253 nt
Filed under: bacterium
Lineage: Bacteria
Also listed under: 1 other name
Description: partial 16S ribosomal RNA
Rfam family: Bacterial small subunit ribosomal RNA
Source: RNAcentral